CUAGCCAGAGAGGGACUCUCCCCUCCUUAAUGA
This 33-nucleotide transfer RNA is filed under the name Cygnus atratus (black swan). Its description in RNAcentral is "partial tRNA-Lys". The record is from RNAcentral. Lineage: Eukaryota; Metazoa; Chordata; Aves; Anseriformes; Anatidae.